This 56-nucleotide small RNA is filed under the name Carlito syrichta (Philippine tarsier). Its description in RNAcentral is "7SK RNA (ENSTSYG00000029466.1)". The record is from RNAcentral. Lineage: Eukaryota; Metazoa; Chordata; Mammalia; Primates; Tarsiidae.
UCUCUCCUGAAGCUGAGUGCUCAAUUGAAGAGGACUCCCAUCCCCGCUAGAGAAGG